RNAcentral lists this ribosomal RNA (809 nucleotides) under uncultured bacterium. RNAcentral describes it as "bacterial SSU rRNA". It matches the Rfam family "Bacterial small subunit ribosomal RNA", at positions 8 to 796 of the family's 1533-position model. The record is from RNAcentral.
AGAGUUUGAUCAUGGCUCAGAAUCAACGCUGGCGGCGUGCCUAACACAUGCAAGUCGAACGCGAAAGUCCCGCAAGGGAUCAGUAGAGUGGCAAACGGGUGAGUAACGCGUGGGUGACCUGCCUUCGAGCGGGGGAUAACGUUCCGAAAGGGACGCUAAUACCGCAUAACAUCCUGUCUUUUAAGAGGUGGAGAUCAAAGCCUGGGACCGCAAGGCCAGGCACUCGAAGAGGGGCCCGCGUCCGAUUAGCUAGUUGGUGGGGUAAUGGCUCACCAAGGCUCCGAUCGGUAUCCGGCCUGAGAGGGCGGACGGACACACUGGGACUGAGACACGGCCCAGACUCCUACGGGAGGCAGCAGUGGGGAAUUGUUCGCAAUGGGCGCAAGCCUGACGACGCAACGCCGCGUGGAGGAUGAAGAUCUUCGGGUCGUAAACUCCUUUCGAUCGAGACGAAUGGCCUCCGGGUGAAUAGUCCGGAGGAGUGACGGUACCGAGAGAAGAAGCCCCGGCUAACUCCGUGCCAGCAGCCGCGGUAAUACGGGGGGGGCAAGCGUUGUUCGGAAUUACUGGGCGUAAAGGGCUCGUAGGUGGCCAACUAAGUCAGACGUGAAAUCCCUCGGCUUAACCGGGGAACUGCGUCUGAUACUGGUUGGCUUGAGUUUGGGAGAGGGACGCGGAAUUCCAGGUGUAGCGGUGAAAUGCGUAGAUAUCUGGAGGAACACCGGUGGCGAAGGCGGCGUCCUGGACCAACACUGACACUGAUGAGCGAAAGCCAGGGGAGCAAACGGGAUUAGAUACCCUAGUAGUCC